CCCGCUUACCCUGGUAAAUGGGGGGAAACGUUCGGAACGGACGCUAAUACCGCAUACGUCCUACGGGAGAAAGCAGGGGACCUUCGGGCCUUGCGCUAUCAGAUGAGCCUAGGUCGGAUUAGCUAGUUGGUGAGGUAAUGGCUCACCAAGGCUACGAUCCGUAACUGGUCUGAGAGGAUGAUCAGUCACACUGGAACUGAGACACGGUCCAGACUCCUACGGGAGGCAGCAGUGGGGAAUAUUGGACAAUGGGCGAAAGCCUGAUCCAGCCAUGCCGCGUGUGUGAAGAAGGUCUUCGGAUUGUAAAGCACUUUAAGUUGGGAGGAAGGGCAUUAACCUAAUACGUUAGUGUUUUGACGUUACCGACAGAAUAAGCACCGGCUAACUCUGUGCCAGCAGCCGCGGUAAUACAGAGGGUGCAAGCGUUAAUCGGAAUUACUGGGCGUAAAGCGCGCGUAGGUGGUUUGUUAAGUUGAAUGUGAAAUCCCCGGGCUCAACCUGGGAACUGCAUCCAAAACUGGCAAGCUAGAGUAUGGUAGAGGGUAGUGGAAUUUCCUGUGUAGCGGUGAAAUGCGUAGAUAUAGGAAGGAACACCAGUGGCGAAGGCGACUACCUGGACUGAUACUGACACUGAGGUGCGAAAGCGUGGGGAGCAAACAGGAUUAGAUACCCUGGUAGUCCACGCCGUAAACGAUGUCAACUAGCCGUUGGGAGUCUUGAACUCUUAGUGGCGCAGCUAACGCAUUAAGUUGACCGCCUGGGGAGUACGGCCGCAAGGUUAAAACUCAAAUGAAUUGACGGGGGCCCGCACAGCGGUGGAGCAUGUGGUUUAAUUCGAAGCAACGCGAAGAACCCUUACCAGGGCCUUGACAUCCCAAUGAACCUUUCUAGAGAUAGAUUUGGUGCCCUUCGGAACAUUGAGACAGGUGCUGCAUGGCUUGUUCGUCAGCUCGUGUCGUGAGAUUGCUGGGUUUAGUUCCCGUUACGAGCGCAACCCCCUUGUUCUAGUUACCAGCACGUAUUGGUUGGCACUCUUAAGGAGACUGCCGGUGAACAACCCGAGAAGUGGUGAAUAGACGUUCAGGCUACUCAUGGGCCCUUUACGGCUGGGGCUCACACACUGCUCUACAUGUCUGGCAAAUGGGUUGUCUCACAC
This 1156-nucleotide ribosomal RNA is filed under the name uncultured bacterium. RNAcentral's name for it is "bacterial SSU rRNA". It matches the Rfam family "Bacterial small subunit ribosomal RNA", at positions 121 to 1257 of the family's 1533-position model. The record is from RNAcentral.